RNAcentral lists this ribosomal RNA (163 nucleotides) under Ficaria verna. RNAcentral's name for it is "5.8S ribosomal RNA". It matches the Rfam family "5.8S ribosomal RNA". From Rfam's summary of the family: 5.8S ribosomal RNA (5.8S rRNA) is a component of the large subunit of the eukaryotic ribosome. It is transcribed by RNA polymerase I as part of the 45S precursor that also contains 18S and 28S rRNA. Lineage: Eukaryota; Viridiplantae; Streptophyta; Magnoliopsida; Ranunculales; Ranunculaceae. The record is from RNAcentral.
GACUCUCGGCAACGGAUAUCUCGGCUCUUGCAUCGAUGAAGAACGUAGCGAAAUGCGAUACUUGGUGUGAAUUGCAGAAUCCCGUGAACCAUCGAGUUUUUGAACGCAAGUUGCGCCCGAUACCAUUAGGUUGAGGGCACGUCUGCCUGGGCGUCACACACAG